RNAcentral lists this ribosomal RNA (756 nucleotides) under uncultured marine bacterium. RNAcentral describes it as "bacterial SSU rRNA". It matches the Rfam family "Bacterial small subunit ribosomal RNA", at positions 54 to 807 of the family's 1533-position model. The record is from RNAcentral.
CAUGCAGUCGUGCGAGAAAGAUCUUCGGAUAUGAGUAGAGCGGCGGACGGGUGAGUAACGCGUAGGAAUCUACCUAGUAGAAGGGGAUAGCCCGGGGAAACCCGGAUUAAUACCGUAUACCUCCUUCGGGAGAAAGAAGGCCUCUCUUUGAAGCUUUCGCUACUAGAUGAGCCUGCGUAAGAUUAGCUUGUUGGUGAGGUAAAGGCUCACCAAGGCAACGAUCUUUAGCUGGUCUGAGAGGACGAUCAGCCACAUUGGGACUGAGACACGGCCCAGACUCCUACGGGAGGCAGCAGUGGGGAAUAUUGGACAAUGGGCGCAAGCCUGAUCCAGCCAUACCGCGUGUGUGAAGAAGGCCUUCGGGUUGUAAGGCACUUUAAGCAGGGAGAAAAAGUUAUAAGUUAAUACCUUAUAGCCUUGAUGUUACCUGCAGAAUAAGCACCGGCUAAUUCCGUGCCAGCAGCCGCGGUAAUACGGAAGGUGCAAGCGUUAAUCGGAAUUACUGGGCGUAAAGCGCGCGUAGGUGGUUUGUUAAGUUGGAUGUGAAAGCCCUGGGCUCAACCUAGGAACUGCAUCCAAAACUAACUCACUAGAGUACGAUAGAGGGAGGUAGAAUUCAUAGUGUAGCGGUGGAAUGCGUAGAUAUUAUGAAGAAUACCAGUGGCGAAGGCGGCCUCCUGGAUCUGUACUGACACUGAGGUGCGAAAGCGUGGGUAGCGAACAGGAUUAGAUACCCUGGUAGUCCCCGCCGUAACG